AAGUAUGGUCAAACUUCCUCCCAAUCUCAUCUGAUCUCUGGAGCUAAGCAGGAUUGGGCCUGGUUAGGACUUGGAUGGGAGACUGCUGGGAAUACCAGGUGCCACAUGUC
RNAcentral lists this ribosomal RNA (110 nucleotides) under Periophthalmus magnuspinnatus. Lineage: Eukaryota; Metazoa; Chordata; Actinopteri; Gobiiformes; Gobiidae. The record is from RNAcentral.